This 253-nucleotide ribosomal RNA is filed under the name uncultured bacterium. RNAcentral describes it as "partial 16S ribosomal RNA". It matches the Rfam family "Bacterial small subunit ribosomal RNA", at positions 524 to 776 of the family's 1533-position model. The record is from RNAcentral.
UACGUAGGGUCCGAGCGUUGUCCGGAAUUAUUGGGCGUAAAGGGCUCGUAGGCGGUCUGUCGCGUCGGGAGUGAAAACUUACAGCUUAACUGUGAGCGUGCUUCCGAUACGGGCAGACUUGAGGUAUUCAGGGGAGAACGGAAUUCCUGGUGUAGCGGUGAAAUGCGCAGAUAUCAGGAGGAACACCGGUGGCGAAGGCGGUUCUCUGGGAAUAUCCUGACGCUGAGGAGCGAAAGCGCGGGGAGCGAACAGG